UUGAAAUCCUGAACCCUGUGCCAAAUGCCAGCACACUGACAAUUACAGUUUUGCUUUCUGGCCGUUGAGCAACUCUCAGAAUAUGUGGUAGGGUUUUAUUUAUUUAUUUAUUUAUUUAUUUAUUUAUUUUUUGUCACUUUCACUAAUUUGUCAUUUUCUUAAGUGGAAAAAUAUUUUCUCGGUUCUUUGUUAGGUAAACAAAACUUUUACUCCUUUUUCCACGGUCCCCCUGAGAGGAGGCAGUAACCUCACGCAAGCUAAGCUGUGGUUUGUGUCUCUCUUUUGGCCAGAGAGCCAAGCUAAUGCAUGAUCUCAUUGAUACAUGAUCUAUUUGUAUGAACUGCAAGCUCGUGGGCUUGUCAUCGUCCUUCAUGGUGCUGGGUCAGUCACCCCGUUAGCCAUUAUAACAGGGGAAGAAGUGAGAGACAGGCGCAUCGCUAAGCCUUCUUCUUCUCAGGCCAACGCAGCACAGUUCUGUUCAGUUCAGUCUAUCCCACUUAGAGCAAGUCAUAGAAAUAUUUACAGAGCAUCUUGUCCACGCUAGCUCAGGGCAUGGUGCUGCAGACAUUACAGUGCCUUAGAUGGUUUGUGGGGAGUGAUGGCAUGACCAGGUACAUAAAACAACGUGGUAAUUGCCACAGUGGUGUGGAGAGAGCAUAGAAGAAGGCACAAAGAUUGGUGGGGGAUUUAUAGCUAGUGUCCUUGUCAUCUGAGUGGAGCCCUGAGAGACAGGAAUGUGUUUAGAGUUAGAACAGGGAAGGAGAGGAGGUGGCUGUUUUGAUUGCCUCUUCAUCCACCACAUCCCAUGGCAGGUGAUGAAACUGAGAGUUUUCUAUCAUAGCGUCCCCUUCUUUUUAGGAUGAUAUAGCGCCGUGGUUUACUUUGGGUAUCUAACCUGACCACUGAAGUUCAUUUUUGGGGGACUGUUUUCUAGUCUACCUAGCAGCCAUUAUUUUUAUACCUUCUCUUUUAUCUUCAGAACCCAGAGUUUGUUCACAAUAAAAAUGUGAACAAUGCCGUCCUCCGGCAGCCUGUAUGGCUCAAUUCUGACCAGUAAGAAGUAAGCGGUACAUUCUUAGGAGCUGUAUAUUGGUUCCUGACCGAGAUAACAUUCAUAUUUUGCAGUGGAUAUUGUGGAUGAACAUUUUAGGUGGAUUAUUUAUUCCCUAAGUAGUAAAAACUUGUCACUUCCAGAAAAUCUUAAUCUUGUCACGGUCGAUGGUCAACCAGAAUAAUUUACUGUUUACAUUCAAACAGCCAGUUUGUAUAUGCCAACUAUACUUACAGGUUAUCUUUGUGUCCUCUCUCCAUAUACAAAGAAGGAUUAUAAGAAAGGACGAGUGAGUUCUGUGUAUGAAAUGAUUCGUACUUUAUGGCUAAUACCCUGCUGACGAUAAUAUUUAUUGAAUACAAACUAUUCUCUGGGUACCAUGUCAAUAUCUAAAAGACCAUGAUCUUAAAUUUUUCUCAUGGGUAUCAUAAGAGCAACAAAGAGGGAUCUGAUGUUCAUGGAGGUGGGUGACGCAACUCUAUACAUCUGGUGAAUAGAUUGCUAAGAGAUAGGCCAGAGAUGUUAUGAUUCAGAGCAUAGGCUAGGAGAUCCUGCACACCACGGAGACUGACUCAGGCUCUUUUGGCAGUUCUGUGCUUGAGUGAAUGAGAGUUUGGGAGGGAGCCUCUCAAUGCAACUGCUACUGUUCCUACCAGCGGUUUACUUGUAUCUUAAGGUAGACAGAUACUAACCUUAAGCAGUAUGUAUGAAGAAGCCUUUCUUUUUCCUCAUAACACCCUCCAAGUUUAGCCUAGAAGUCCUAAUGUGCAUCUUCUUUUGGUAGCAAAAGUAAAUGAACUGUAAGCAGAAUAAACAAAACACAUGAGGUGAAAUAGCAUACAUGGAUUUUUUACAGACUGAUAAUAUUUCUGGCAAUCUGUUUAUUUUUUUUUCUGUAUGUCCAUCUUUAUUUGUUCAUUUACUCAUAGUUUUUUGUUUUUUAAUUUUAAAAAUUAUAUUUUGAAAUUUGAUCUUGUUUCUUCUCUGGCAUGUUUUGGAAAUAUUUUGAGUAACUUUGGUCACUCAUCUUUUCCUUCUCCAGGAAGAUCCUUAGCCUUCCUGUUUGUCCCUGUUGAACAAAUGAAGUCAGAAGUUAUACUGUAAAGAGUUUGGAGAGACUCAGUAGACCCAGUGACCUCGAGCAUCAUUCUGGCAUCAGAAAGCACAAGAUGCUUUAUUAGAUUAUAUAGACCAGUGGUCCUUCCUGACCACUGCGACCUUUUAAUUACAGUUCCGCAUGUUGUGAUGGUCCCAACCAUAAAAUUAUUUUCAUUUUUUUACUUUAUUUUAUUAUUACUAUUUUUUAUUUUUUACUUAUUCUUUUUUAAUUAAUAUUUUUUAUUACAUAUUUUCCUCAAUUACAUUUCCAAUGCUAUCCC
This 2430-nucleotide long non-coding RNA is filed under the name Mus musculus (house mouse). Its description in RNAcentral is "long non-coding RNA chr5:88965124-88967554". The record is from RNAcentral. Lineage: Eukaryota; Metazoa; Chordata; Mammalia; Rodentia; Muridae.